This 393-nucleotide ribosomal RNA is filed under the name uncultured bacterium. Its description in RNAcentral is "partial 16S ribosomal RNA". It matches the Rfam family "Bacterial small subunit ribosomal RNA", at positions 523 to 918 of the family's 1533-position model. The record is from RNAcentral.
AUACGGAGGAUGCGAGCGUUAUCCGGAUUUAUUGGGUUUAAAGGGAGCGUAGGUGGGAUAUUAAGUCAGCUGUGAAAGUUUGGGGCUCAACCUUAAAAUUGCAGUUGAUACUGGUUUCCUUGAGUACGGUACAGGUGGGCGGAAUUCGUGGUGUAGCGGUGAAAUGCUUAGAUAUCACGAAGAACUCUGAUCGCGAAGGCAGCUCACCGGGCCGGAACUGACACUGAUGCUCGAAAGUGCGGGUAUCAAACAGGAUUAGAUACCCUGGUAGUCCGCACAGUAAACGAUGAAUACUCGCUGUUUGCGAUACACGGUAAGCGGCCAAGCGAAAGCGUUAAGUAUUCCACCUGGGGAGUACGCCGGCAACGGUGAAACUCAAAUGAAUUGGCGGGG